UGCUUUAUUUUUUUUUUUUAUAGAGUUAGUUCUUUCUGAUCAAAAUGUAAGAUACAAUUUCAUUUUCAAAUUUAACAUACAUUUGCUUUAUUUUUUAAAAAAAGAUACUACAUAAUUUGUUUAUUUUCUAUUUUAGGGAGAUAGAAUACAUGCAACGAUAAGAAAAGUUUUUCUGAAUAAAUUUAAAGGCCUUUUUACGGAAGGAAAAGUUAUGUGAUCAACCAGUUUGGAGUGGGGCAGAGCAGCGGCUCCUACAGGACCACUAAUCAUCCUUACAAAAUCAAUUUUCAAUAUUCUACGGUUGUACGUGAGAUAGAAAAUGUUUUGACCGUGUCAAAGUAUGGAUUUAUAUUUACCCCUUUUGAUGAAAUACUUGGUAAUGUCGCUAAUGACAAAUAUUUAGUAGAUAAGAGUUAUUACAUGCAUCAAAUAUUUAAUUUUUAAAAUUUAAUUUUUAAUAUAUGUAUCUAUUAUAUUGAUUCUUACAUUUUAUUAUUAUAUUAUCUCAGAUGUCAUUGGGAAGCUUUCUGAAAUUAGUAGAAUAGAAGAAAACUGCAAGGACGGUAAAAAACAAAAAAGAUUACGAUACAACUUGAGGACGACAAGUAUGUGUUUAUAAUUAUAGAUAUAUCUUUUGAACGUUUAUAUAUUUUUUUUCAGUUAGCUGCUGAUCUAUACUACUUAUAAAAACGUUAGUUUUGCAUUUUUUCCUCUUUUCCAAAAUACUAGUCCCUAUUAAUAUAAUAUCUUUCGCAUAUAUAAUAUUUAAUCAUAUUUUUUUUAAAACAAAAUAUAUAAAAGUUAUCCGUGCUUUUACCUACUAAUAUUUAAAUAUUGGAUAUUUUAUUUAAGACAUUAUAAAAUAUAUUAACAUAUAUAAUAUUUAAUCAUAUUUUUUAAAAGCAGAAUAUAUAAAAGUUAUCUCAAAUUUAAAAUAUUACAUAUUUUAUUUCAAUUAUUAUAAAAUAUAUUAAUUCUUAGUCAAUAAAUCUAAUUGACUGACGAAUAUAAAAUAUCUGUUAUUUUUUUUUAUCUAAAUUGCCCUCAAAUAGUAGUAUCAAAUUUCACUUUUUAUAUGCAUGCCAUAUCUUCUAAUAACCGUCGCCCACAUAAUAUCAUAUUUUAUCACAAAUAAUAUUCGCAUAUCUUAAUUUNGGAAGCAAAAAAAAAAAAAGAAAAAGAAAUUGCUUCCAAAUUUUUUAUUUUUGUUAACAAUUAAAUAUCUUAAAUGUAUAGAUUACAAGCAAUCUACUGUCUAUUUCUACACUAUUUCAUGUAAAAUUUUUAUUAUAAAAAAGCCUGCAACAAUACAACAGUAGACCGAUUUUUGUAGACGUGGGUGAGGCCGUUUAUUUUACUAGAUUGCGUGCCCUUUUUAGCUCUUUUCAGAUAUUUUUAGAGUUCCUCUUUCUUUAGUUUUGUCACUCCUUGAGGCCCUAGCUGCCUCACCUUUUAUAGUCAAAUUCAUUUACCUAAUGAAUGAAGCAGAUGGCGUGCUACCUUUUUCUCAAAAAAAAAAAACUAUCCACUUUAUUUAAUGAUAAGCUCUACUUUAUGCAUUAAACACAUACAUGGAUUAUAAAAUUGCUCUAUCUUACAAUACAUUAGUUUCUCCGCAAUAAAAUUAAGGGUUAAUUGCAUACAACUUUCUAUAAACAUAUAUAAUAGCAGAUAUUUCCCGAGUAGGGCUAGAAUACUUUUACAAGUAUCACCCAAGUGAUACUUGUGUGUUUUUAGCCAUCGGAUCUACUUUUUGAUUACUAAUAGUCUUUGGAUCAAACACUAUUCCACCUACCACCACCUACCACUAUCAUCUCAACCUCACAUCUCUCCAUCCAAGGGCUAAAAACACACAAGUAUCACUUGGAUGAUACUUUUACAAGUAUUCUAGCUCUACUCGAUAUUUCCCUACAAAGUUUAACUUUUUAUUUUGGUUAAAUUAUAGAAAAUUUUCUUAUAAAUACCUAUUUUUUUACUUUUUCUCCCUAACUUUCAAAAACCUAUAUUUUACUUUCUUAACAUUUCAAAUUAUUGCAUUUAGCCCUACUUUGUCAGGAUUCCAUUACUAUUCUAUCUAUUUUUUAUAAUUUAUACCGAAAAUAUCCUUUAAAAUAAAAAAAUAUA
Molecule: long non-coding RNA, 2124 nt
Filed under: Ananas comosus (pineapple)
Lineage: Eukaryota; Viridiplantae; Streptophyta; Magnoliopsida; Poales; Bromeliaceae
Description: long non-coding RNA (ACOM_LNC029363)
Source: RNAcentral